Molecule: ribosomal RNA, 488 nt
Filed under: uncultured Rhodoferax sp.
Lineage: Bacteria; Pseudomonadati; Pseudomonadota; Betaproteobacteria; Burkholderiales; Comamonadaceae
Description: bacterial SSU rRNA
Rfam family: Bacterial small subunit ribosomal RNA
Source: RNAcentral
AGAGUUUGAUCAUGGCUCAGAUUGAACGCUGGCGGCAUGCCUUACACAUGCAAGUCGAACGGCAGCACGGGAGCAAUCCUGGUGGCGAGUGGCGAACGGGUGAGUAAUAUAUCGGAACGUGCCCAGUCGUGGGGGAUAACGUAGCGAAAGCUACGCUAAUACCGCAUACGAUCUACGGAUGAAAGCGGGGGACUCGUAAGGGCCUCGCGCGAUUGGAGCGGCCGAUAUCAGAUUAGGUUGUUGGUGAGGUAAAAGCUCACCAAGCCUGCGAUCUGUAGCUGGUCUGAGAGGACGACCAGCCACACUGGAACUGAGACACGGUCCAGACUCCUACGGGAGGCAGCAGUGGGGAAUUUUGGACAAUGGACGCAAGUCUGAUCCAGCAAUGCCGCGUGCAGGACGAAGGCCUUCGGGUUGUAAACUGCUUUUGUACGGAACGAAACGGUCUGCUUUAAUACAGCGGGCUAAUGACGGUACCGUAAGAAUAG